Molecule: ribosomal RNA, 253 nt
Filed under: uncultured bacterium
Lineage: Bacteria
Description: partial 16S ribosomal RNA
Rfam family: Bacterial small subunit ribosomal RNA
Source: RNAcentral
UACAGGGGGGGCAAGCGUUGUUCGGAAUUACUGGGCGUAAAGGGCUCGUAGGUGGCCAACUAAGUCAGACGUGAAAUCCCUCAGCUUAACUGGGGAACUGCGUCUGAUACUGGAUGGCUUGAGUUUGGGAGAGGGAUGCGGAAUUCCAGGUGUAGCGGUGAAAUGCAUAGAUAUCUGGAGGAACACCGGUGGCGAAGGCGGCAUCCUGGACCAACACUGACACUGAGGAGCGAAAGCCAGGGGAGCAAACGGG